UACGUAGGGGGCUAGCGUUGUCCGGAUUUAUUGGGCGUAAAGAGCGUGUAGGCGGCCAGGUAGGUCUGGUGUGAAAACUCGAGGCUUAACCUCGAGAUGUCAUCGGAAACCAUUUGGCUAGAGUCCGGAAGAGGAGAGUGGAAUUCCUGGUGUAGCGGUGAAAUGCGCAGAUAUCAGGAAGAACACCAAUGGCGAAAGCAGCUCUCUGGGACGGUACUGACGCUGAGACGCGAAAGCGUGGGUAGCAAACAGG
RNAcentral lists this ribosomal RNA (253 nucleotides) under uncultured bacterium. RNAcentral describes it as "partial 16S ribosomal RNA". It matches the Rfam family "Bacterial small subunit ribosomal RNA", at positions 524 to 776 of the family's 1533-position model. The record is from RNAcentral.